This 253-nucleotide ribosomal RNA is filed under the name uncultured bacterium. RNAcentral describes it as "partial 16S ribosomal RNA". It matches the Rfam family "Bacterial small subunit ribosomal RNA", at positions 524 to 776 of the family's 1533-position model. The record is from RNAcentral.
UACGAAGGGGGCUAGCGUUGUUCGGAAUUACUGGGCGUAAAGCGCGCGCAGGCGGCCUUUUAAGUCUGAUGUGAAAGCCCACGGCUCAACCGUGGAAGGUCAUUGGAAACUGAAAGGCUUGAGUACAGAAGAGGAAAGCGGAAUUCCACGUGUAGCGGUGAAAUGCGUAGAGAUGUGGAGGAACACCAGUGGCGAAGGCGGCUUUCUGGUCUGUAACUGACGCUGAGGCGCGAAAGCGUGGGGAGCAAACAGG